UAUUUUAAUUCAUUAAAACUCCAUUUAAAUACAAACACAAAAACAGAAUAAAAAAGAUUCACAAACCUAUUAACACUCACUAAUGAUCCGAUGGAAUAUGUGGAUUACAAUAGCUUUGAAACCUCUAAAUGUAACUCCGAUGUCCACCAUGGAUGGAAGAAAGUUGAACAAAAACAGGCGGAUCAGUUGGUCGCUGCUUAUGUGGAGGAUGAAUGGAGUGGUGCCGGUGAGGCGAAUUCAAAACGCCGAGGUAUUUAUUCGUUGAAACAUUUAAUUAUAUAUUUUAAUAGAAAAAAUUAAACUUUUAUGUUUUCUGUAAUCUCAGAGAGAUUUGUAAUAAACGGUUUAGGUAAACGAUAGUUAAGAUGUUGUAUUUCAAAAAAACGCAAAAGGUAUUUAUUCGUAUUUGUGUAAGUAAAAAAUGAGAGUUUGUUUUAACUCUAAUAAAUGAGAGGUCCAUAUUUCAUUUUUUUAGUGGAAACAAACAACCUACCAUAAGGCAAGUAAAACCUAAGCUUUAGGACAGAUAUUAUAUAGCAAAACAUAAGGUGAUAUUUUGAAAAUACUAAUUCUUUAGUGGCGAAACACCAUAAGGAACUUUUCAAUCGCCCCAUGUUCGAAUAACCAUAGAUGAUUUUUUGUUGUUUUUCACCAUGUUUUAUAUAUUUUUUUUAAAUGUACUUUAGGUUACAUUUUUUAUAAUUGAUAU
This 709-nucleotide small RNA is filed under the name Arabidopsis thaliana (thale cress). RNAcentral describes it as "ATSL136470". The record is from RNAcentral. Lineage: Eukaryota; Viridiplantae; Streptophyta; Magnoliopsida; Brassicales; Brassicaceae.